Molecule: transfer RNA, 76 nt
Filed under: Bacillota bacterium
Lineage: Bacteria; Bacillati; Bacillota
Description: tRNA-Lys
Rfam family: tRNA
About the family: Transfer RNA (tRNA) molecules are approximately 80 nucleotides in length.
Source: RNAcentral
GCGCCACUAGCUCAGUUGGUAGAGCAGCUGACUCUUAAUCAGCGGGUCGGGGGUUCGAGCCCCUCGUGGCGCACCA